RNA transcript from Nicotiana attenuata, 2525 nucleotides. It is a transcript of the gene named pentatricopeptide repeat-containing protein At1g09220, mitochondrial, with no coding region annotated. The transcript has 3 exons. The record is from RefSeq and is a predicted model, not a curated record. Lineage: Eukaryota; Viridiplantae; Streptophyta; Magnoliopsida; Solanales; Solanaceae.
CUAGGUAAUUUAGUCCGUUAAGGCUCAAAGAAGAAGCUUUCUUCCCUUUCAUGCCAUAGUUAAAAAUGCAAACUUGCUGCUAUUAAUGGGCAGAGAUGUUAAUCAUCUUCUUAACCUCGUUAAAAGACACCAAAACUACCGCAGAGCAAUUCAACAGAUUCAUACUCAGUUAAUAUUCACCACUGCUGAAAAUACCUUCAACACAAGUUCAAUACCCAUCAUAUUAACUCUCUGGAACUCUGUAAUUCGCCAUUACUCUCUUGGUAUUUUCCCACAAGAAGCCUUUUUUCUUUUCCAGAAACUCCGAUUCCAGUAUCAAAAAGUUAUCUUUUUUGAUAGCUUUACAUAUUCUUUCUUGAUCAAAGCAUCGGCCAAUUUAGCACAACGGGGUACCGGGAAACAGCUUCAUUGUUUGAGCUUGAAGGAUGGAUUCGAGUCCCAUGUUUAUGUGCAAACUGCUCUGGUUAACAUGUAUGGUGAAUGUGGGUUUGUUGGGGAAGCGAAGAAGGUGUUCGAUGAAAUGCCUGUUAGAAAUUCUGUCACUUGGAAUGCUUUGAUCAGUGGUUCUAUUAAAUGGGGUGAUGUUAAGGUUGCUCGGGCGGUGUUCGAUGCAAUGCCGGAGAAGAAUGUCAUUUCUUGGACGGGGCUUAUUGAUGGGUAUACGAGGAUGGGUCGGUUUGAUGAGGCAUUGUCAUUGUUCCGCGAAAUGGUUGUGAUCGAGGAGAUAAAACCGAGUGAAGUGAGUCUUUUGGCUAUUUUCCCGGCUAUUUGGAAUGUUCGGUGUCUAGAGUGUUGCCAAAUGGUUCAUGCUUACGGGGAGAAAAGUGGUAUUAAUGCUUUUGAUAUCCGUGUUAUGAAUUCGCUUUUAGAUGCUUAUGCUAAAUGUGGAAGCAUAGAUGAUGCUGUGAGAGUUUUUGAGGAUAUAUUAAAUGAAAGAAGGAAUUUGGUGUCAUGGACGUCGAUAAUAUCAGGAUAUGCAAUGCAUGGGAUGGCAAAAGAAGCUUCUGAUAGUUAUCAGAUGAUGGUGGAUGCAGGUGUUGAACCGAAUCGCAUAACGUUUUUGAGCAUGCUCAAUGCUUGCAGUCAUGGAGGUUUAGUGGAUGAGGGGCUCGAGUUUUUCAGGAAGAUGGUUGAUGAGUUUGGGAUUCAACCAAACAUUAAGCAUUAUGGUAGCUUGAUAGACAUGUUAGGCAGAGAAGGUAGGUUAGUAGAAGCAGAAGAAAUAGCUUUGGAGAUACCUAAUGCUAUGUCUAAUGUUGUGAUUUGGAGAACACUAUUGGGAGCUUGUAGUUUUCAUGAUAAUGCAGAUAUGGGAGAAAGAGUUAUGCAGAAGAUCAUGGAGAUGGAAAACAAAUACGGUGGUGAUUAUGUGCUUCUUUCGAAUAUCCUUGCAGGUAUGGGCAGGUCAAAGACAGAGUAAAGAGAAAAAAGAUCCUCACUAUCCAAUCCAAACCAAGGAUCUACUACGCCAUUGUCGACCAAUUCAUUUCUCCCACUCUCUUGAAGAUGAUUGUGACCACCCUGGAGAACACUGAAAUCAAUGGCGGGGAUCGACACUUGGUCCAUGCCUAGAACUGUACAAUCUUCUCCCUAUUGUAUCGCUAACUUGUUACCUGAAGAAGUAGUCUAGAUCAGAUUUAUAGUCUUGGUGAUGUUAGGCUUUCAGCAAGCUGUAUUUUACUGCUGGAAGAUAUAUAGCAAGGAAUUUACCCGGGUUUGAAAGUGAAGUUUUUGUCCUCACGAAGAAAAAUAAUUUGGUCAUGGCGAAAGUUUUGGAAGAUCAAUGCCAGGAUGAUGUUUUCAUGCUUAGGACAAGCAGAGAAGUCCAAAUGAAAGAUAGUCUCAAAUUGUUUGUAUCUCUAAAAGCAACCUUGACUGAGGUAGCUCAUCAUUGGCCUUAACGAGUUUGAUUAAGGAAUUUUAUGCAUUUGGACAAGACGAUUGAGACAAUGAGAUAUUGUUGAAAUGCCAUGGUUAGAAGGAAAUGGGCAUAAGAGAAACAAAAAGGAAAGUCUGCAGGCCAAAUGUCUGUCUCAGUAAGGAACAGAAGUGAUACAGUGUGUAGAGCAAUUGAGCUUGUGAAUUGAUGUCUUUUUGGUCAAAGUAAUGGGAAAAAAGGAGGUACAUUAUUAUGUCAUUUUAGUUAUGACAGGGCACAGGACAAAAACCUGAUAAUCAUAGGACUUUGUUUGGCUUACUUGUCUUAAGGAAAUAGAAAAGAAACACACAACAGAAUAAACAUUUCUGAUUGUUGGACAUCCUGGAAAUUGAAGAGGUCACGAGUUCAAGCCAUGGAAUCAACUAUUGGUUCUUGCAUCAGGAUAGGCUGCCUACAUCACACCCCUUGGGCUGCAGCUCUUCCCUGGACCCUGCGAUGGAUGCGGGAUGAUUCAUGCAUCGGACGGCCUUUUUUGAAAGCUUAAUUAAUUUCGUCGCCUCGUCGGAUCUUUUGUGUAUAACUGUGGGGUAUUAUCACUUUUAGCCCCCGACAGAAACUAUUUACAUUUGGUAGCUGAAAACGUGUA